UCGUGACCUGAGCUGAAGUCGGACGCCCAACCGACUGAGCCACCCCGGCGCCCCAGUAUGGCACGGAACUUUUGACAAGAAUUGUAAAUCCAAUUCAUUUAUCCAUGAAGAAAAAACAAGGACCGGCAGUAGAGGACCUGGUGGCAAGUUAACCCUGAUACUAAGAAAAGAGGCCAAUGCACAAUCUCCCAUGGCAACUGGGAACCAAAUAACGACCUCUGGGUAAUACGUGAUCAGGCUGCCUUGGUUGCAAAAUCAAUAAGACACUGGGCCACUGUGAAAAGCUGCAGUCACUCUGGACUGAAGAAACGUGGGCCGCGCGAGUAGGAGUGGUAUUGACUUGGUUUUCAACUCUUGAAAAGGGCGGCCGGAUUGGAAGGAGCAAGCAAGGAGGACCGGGCGGGGGUGUGCUGGAAAUGGAACAGCAUCAGGAAGAAGGAGGAACCCAGACAGGACCGGGGUUAGAUGGUCUCUUAACAUUGGGCUCUCCUCCCUUUGAAAACAGUGGCUUUUAUCUCCAAGCCCGGAGGGAUGGGUCCCAUACUGUUCUGCUUGUGGUCACACAGGAAGAACAGAACGAUGCUUUCUUGUAGUUCGUCUUUUUCCCUGAAAAAUGCCUCAGGAUAAAUCACACGCAUGCCACCAAGGUCUCCACAGACCUAGUUUUCAACUUGGCUGGAUUAGAUUUGGUCUUUUUCCUCGUUGUCUCCACCAUUUCAAAGAACACCGUAUAUUUAUAA
Molecule: long non-coding RNA, 740 nt
Organism: Felis catus (domestic cat)
Lineage: Eukaryota; Metazoa; Chordata; Mammalia; Carnivora; Felidae
Exons: 4
Source: RefSeq, a predicted model, not a curated record